RNAcentral lists this microRNA precursor (76 nucleotides) under Podarcis lilfordi (Lilford's wall lizard). The record is from RNAcentral. Lineage: Eukaryota; Metazoa; Chordata; Lepidosauria; Squamata; Lacertidae.
GAUGAUGUUAGACUACAACUCCCACCUUCCCUAGGUCAGAGCUCAGGGAUGAUGGGAGUUGUAGUCCAACAACAUC